GACGAACGCUGGCGGCGUGCUUAACACAUGCAAGUCGAACGAUGAAGCCCAGCUUGCUGGGUGGAUUAGUGGCGAACGGGUGAGUAACACGUGGGCACCCUGCCCCAAACACUGGGAUAACUCCUCGAAAGAGGUGCUAAUACCGGAUACGAACUAGACAGACAUCUGUACUAGUUGGAAAGUUUUUCGGUUUGGGAUGGGCCCGCGGCCUAUCAGCUUGUUGGUGAGGUAACGGCUCACCAAGGCUACGACGGGUAACCGGCAUGAGAGGGCGACCGGUCACACUGGGACUGAGACACGGCCCAGACUCCUACGGGAGGCAGCAGUGGGGAAUAUUGCGCAAUGGGCGAAAGCCUGACGCAGCGACGCCGCGUGAGGGAUGAAGGUCUUCGGAUCGUAAACCUCUUUCAGUAGGGACGAAGCGUAAGUGACGGUACCUAAAGAAGAAGCACCGGCUAACUACGUGCCAGCAGCCGCCGUAA
This 482-nucleotide ribosomal RNA is filed under the name uncultured bacterium. Its description in RNAcentral is "partial 16S ribosomal RNA". It matches the Rfam family "Bacterial small subunit ribosomal RNA", at positions 28 to 523 of the family's 1533-position model. The record is from RNAcentral.